CCUACGGGAGGCAGCAGUGGGGAAUAUUGCGCAAUGGGCGAAAGCCUGACGCAGCAACGCCGCGUGAGGGAUGAAGGCCUUCGGGUUGUAAACCUCUGUCUUCAGGGACGAAAAAAAUGACGGUACCUGAGGAGGAAGCCCCGGCUAACUACGUGCCAGCAGCCGCGGUAAUACGUAGGGGGCGAGCGUUGUCCGGAUUUACUGGGCGUAAAGCGCGCGUAGGCGGGUUAUUAAGUCAGGUGUGAAAACCCCGGGCUCAACUUGGGGACUGCACCUGAUACUGAUGAUCUUGAGUGCAGGAGAGGAAAGUGGAAUUCCUAGUGUAGCGGUGAAAUGCGUAGAUAUUAGGAGGAACACCAGUGGCGAAGGCGACUUUCUGGACUGUAACUGACGCUGAGGCGCGAAAGCGUGGGGAGCAAACAGGAUUAGAUACCCUUGUAGUC
Molecule: ribosomal RNA, 443 nt
Filed under: Salmonella enterica subsp. enterica serovar Anatum
Lineage: Bacteria; Pseudomonadati; Pseudomonadota; Gammaproteobacteria; Enterobacterales; Enterobacteriaceae
Description: bacterial SSU rRNA
Rfam family: Bacterial small subunit ribosomal RNA
Source: RNAcentral